This is a long non-coding RNA of Silurus meridionalis, 701 nucleotides long. RefSeq lists it as uncharacterized. The transcript has 3 exons. NCBI's taxonomy places the organism in Eukaryota, Metazoa, Chordata, Actinopteri, Siluriformes, Siluridae. The record is from RefSeq and is a predicted model, not a curated record.
UGAAAUGAAAACCUGUACCCACACCGAUUGGACACCCCUGAUUCAUGAGUGAUGUAGCUGAGGUCGAUGAACUGUCAGAGACAGCUGAUUUUGAUAUCACUACCUCUGGCAGGGUAUCUCCAGUGAUCCCAGGGGAAUAUUGAAGACCUGCCAUUUUGGAGAUGCUCUCACCCAGCUUCUAAAGAUCACAGUGUGACCCUGCACCAUGAGGUUGCGUCGACUCCAGUUGUGUCCCACCUCAAGAUUAUGGACCGUCAAAGAAGUAGAUGCCGGCUCCACAAACAUCCCGAACCAUCAAAAGAUGUACCAGCGCCAUUUGGAUCCCACUUUAUGUAGAGUUUGGUCAUUGGAACUCUGAACAUUUAAAGGCUCUGGCAUGGAGGAGUUGGUGUUGGAUCUAUAAUGAUCUCAGAUGUUGAGCUAUGCUCAGUAGCUUCUGGUUCCACAACGUCAACUGACUGUAGAAGACUGUACAACUUUGUGGUAUCGGUUUGGGGAGGAACCAUAUAUGGCUGAAAAAGUUACAAUAUUUCAGUCCAUAUAGUGGGUUUACCUGUUGGUUGAAAUAAAGAUGGACCUACAGUUAGAGCUGUUAUUAAAGAAAAUCAACCAAUACCAUCUUACAAAUUAGAAUCCACAUUUUAAUUGCCAUACUCUUCCCUACUGUUAUAUCAAAUAAACACUUAAAAAGUACAUUUUAG